RNAcentral lists this ribosomal RNA (555 nucleotides) under Triticum aestivum (bread wheat). RNAcentral's name for it is "partial small subunit ribosomal RNA". Lineage: Eukaryota; Viridiplantae; Streptophyta; Magnoliopsida; Poales; Poaceae. The record is from RNAcentral.
AUGGGCUUCUGGGAGGCCUUCCUCAACUGGCUCCGCAGCCUCUUUUUCAAGCAAGAAAUGGAGCUUUCAUUGAUUGGGCUCCAAAAUGCUGGGAAAACUUCGCUUGUGAAUGUUAUUGCUACAGGAGGUUUUAGCGAAGACAUGAUUCCCACAGUAGGAUUCAAUAUGAGAAAGGUAACCAAAGGAAAUGUCACUAUAAAAUUAUGGGAUCUUGGAGGCCAGCCAAGAUUCCGGAGCAUGUGGGAGAGAUACUGCCGUGCUGUUUCUGCAAUUGUGUAUGUUGUUGAUGCAGCAGAUCGGGAGAACAUGGCUAUUGCCAAAAGUGAGCUCCAUGACCUUCUGAGCAAGCCAUCUUUGACCGGUAUCCCAUUACUGGUCAUUGGCAACAAAAUCGACAAGCCUGAAGCUUUCCCCAAGCAAAGUUUCACAGAAUUGAUGGGUCUGAAGGCAAUGACUGAUCGAGAAGUGGCCUGCUUCAUGAUAUCAUGCAAGAACUCAACCAACAUUGAUUCCGUCAUCGACUGGCUCGUGAAGCACUCAAAGAAGAAGAACUGA